Non-coding RNA from Kuraishia capsulata CBS 1993, 72 nucleotides. Lineage: Eukaryota; Fungi; Ascomycota; Pichiomycetes; Pichiales; Pichiaceae. The record is from Rfam.
UCCGAUGUAGUGUAACGGCUAGCACGGUCCGCUCUCACCGGGCAAACCCGGGUUCAACUCCCGGCAUCGGAA